CUGAAGAGGAAAUAUCUAUUUCUCAAGAUGCAUUACACGUGACCGAUCUUUUAGACUUACCCUCAAGGACACAAGUAACAGUCCGGAAACAGAAACCGUCUGAAGAGGAAAUAUCUAUUUAUCAAGAUGCAUUACAAGUGACUGAUCUUUUAGACUUACCCUCAAGGACC
Molecule: long non-coding RNA, 170 nt
Organism: Suncus etruscus (white-toothed pygmy shrew)
Lineage: Eukaryota; Metazoa; Chordata; Mammalia; Eulipotyphla; Soricidae
Exons: 3
Source: RefSeq, a predicted model, not a curated record